UCUUACCAACAACAACAUUUCC
Molecule: small nuclear RNA, 22 nt
Filed under: Arabidopsis thaliana (thale cress)
Lineage: Eukaryota; Viridiplantae; Streptophyta; Magnoliopsida; Brassicales; Brassicaceae
Description: snRNA_05643
Source: RNAcentral